AGGACGAACGCUGGCGGCGUGCUUAACACAUGCAAGUCGAGCGGUAAGGCCUUUCGGGGUACACGAGCGGCGAACGGGUGAGUAACACGUGGGUGAUCUGCCCUGCACUCUGGGAUAAGCCUGGGAAACUGGGUCUAAUACCGGAUAUGACCUGCUCUCGCAGUGGGGGUGGGUGGAAAGAUUUAUCGGUGCAGGAUGGGCCCGCGGCCUAUCAGCUUGUUGGUGGGUAAUGGCCUACCAAGGCGACG
RNAcentral lists this ribosomal RNA (248 nucleotides) under uncultured soil bacterium. RNAcentral describes it as "partial 16S ribosomal RNA". It matches the Rfam family "Bacterial small subunit ribosomal RNA", at positions 26 to 278 of the family's 1533-position model. The record is from RNAcentral.